GACGAACGCUGGCGGCGUGCUUAACACAUGCAAGUCGAACGGGAUUUAGUAAACAGAAGCCUCGGUGGAAGAUUACUAAUGAGAGUGGCGAACGGGUGAGUAACGCGUGAGCAACCUGCCUAUGACAGUGGGAUAGCCUCGGGAAACCGGGAUUAAUACCGCAUAAAAUCGUAGAAACACAUGUUUUAACGGUCAAAGAUUUAUCGGUCAUAGAUGGGCUCGCGUCUGAUUAGCUAGUUGGUGAGAUAACAGCCCACCAAGGCGACGAUCAGUAGCCGGUCUGAGAGGAUGAACGGCCACAUUGGAACUGAGACACGGUCCAAACUCCUACGGGAGGCAGCAGUGGGGAAUAUUGCACAAUGGGGGAAACCCUGAUGCAGCGACGCAGCGUGAACGAAGAAGGUAUUCGUAUCGUAAAGUUCUGUCCUAUGGGAAGAUAAUGACAGUACCAUAGAAGAAAGCUCCGGCUAAAUACGUG
Molecule: ribosomal RNA, 478 nt
Filed under: uncultured bacterium
Lineage: Bacteria
Description: partial 16S ribosomal RNA
Rfam family: Bacterial small subunit ribosomal RNA
Source: RNAcentral